UACGGGGGAUGCAAGUGUUAUCCGGAAUCCCUGGGCGUAAAGCGUCUGUAGGUGGUUACAUAAGUCAACUGUUAAAUCUUGAGGCUUAACCUCAAAAUCGCAGUCGAAACUGUUUGACUAGAGUAUAGUAGGGGUAAAGGGAAUUUCCAGUGGAGCGGUGAAAUGCGUAGAUAUUGGAAAGAACACCGAUGGCGAAGGCACUUUACUGGGCUAUUACUAACACUGAGAGACGAAAGCUAGGGUAGCAAAUGGG
This 253-nucleotide ribosomal RNA is filed under the name uncultured bacterium. RNAcentral describes it as "partial 16S ribosomal RNA". It matches the Rfam family "Bacterial small subunit ribosomal RNA", at positions 524 to 776 of the family's 1533-position model. The record is from RNAcentral.